GACGAACGCUGGCGGCGUGCUUAACACAUGCCAGUCGAACGAUGAAGAAGAGAAACGCGAACUUCGGUUCAAAUUUCACUUCGGAUUAGUGGCAGACGGGUGAGUAACGCGUGAGCAACCUACCUCUUACAAAGGGAUAGCCUCGGGAAACCGUGAUUAAUACCAUAUGACACAUUCAUAAGGCAUCUUAAGAAUGUUAAAGCUACGGCGGUAAGAGAUGGGCUCGCGUCCCAUUAGCUAGUUGGUGAGGUAACGGCCCACCAAGGCGACGAUGGGUAACCGGCCUGAGAGGGUGAACGGUCACAUUGGAACUGAGACACGGUCCAAACUCCUACGGGAGGCAGCAGUGGGGAAUAUUGCACAAUGGAGGGAACUCUGAUGCAGCGACGCCGCGUGAGCGAUGAAGGAAUUCGUUUCGUAAAGCUCUGUUCUAUGGGAAGAAAAGGACUGUACCAUAGGAGAAAGCCCCGGCUAAAUACGAG
RNAcentral lists this ribosomal RNA (482 nucleotides) under uncultured bacterium. RNAcentral describes it as "partial 16S ribosomal RNA". It matches the Rfam family "Bacterial small subunit ribosomal RNA", at positions 28 to 507 of the family's 1533-position model. The record is from RNAcentral.